Molecule: ribosomal RNA, 438 nt
Filed under: uncultured rumen bacterium
Lineage: Bacteria
Description: bacterial SSU rRNA
Rfam family: Bacterial small subunit ribosomal RNA
Source: RNAcentral
AACGCGAAGAACCUUACCAGGUCUUGACAUCCCGCCGAAAGAGAGGGUAAUGCCUCUCCCUCCUUCGGGACAGCGGUGACAGGUGGUGCAUGGUUGUCGUCAGCUCGUGUCGUGAGAUGUUGGGUCAAGUCCCGCAACGAGCGCAACCCCUGCUCUUAGUAGCCAGCAUUUUUAGAUGGGCACUCUAAGAGGACUGUUAGGGAUAACCUAAAGGAAGAUGGGGAUGACGUCAAAUCAUCAUGCCCCUUAUGAUCUGGGCUACACACGUGCUACAAUGGCGUGGAACAAAGGGAAGCGAAGUCGUGAGGCCAAGCAAAUCUCAAAAAACACGUCUCAGUUCGGACUGUAGUCUGCAACCCGACUACACGAAGCUGGAAUCGCUAGUAAUCGCGGAUCAGAAUGCCGCGGUGAAUACGUUCCCGGGUCUUGUACACACCG